Molecule: non-coding RNA, 364 nt
Organism: Schizosaccharomyces pombe (fission yeast)
Lineage: Eukaryota; Fungi; Ascomycota; Schizosaccharomycetes; Schizosaccharomycetales; Schizosaccharomycetaceae
Source: the annotation of a GenBank genome assembly
CCAAACACUCGCUAUAGAGCAAUAGCUUUACUUACAAAAUGAAUUCUUCUUCUUCUUUGCUUUUGGCAUUCAAAGGAGGAACAUCCUUUGCGCUAAGUGGCUUAUUUCUUUUAAACAAUUUACUAUAGAUCACAGGACCAACAAAUACUGAACCGAGAACAGCUAAACUCAACUAUGUUCAUUGUUAGGUGUACGGAAUUUGAAAAAUACAUACUUGAUGAGCUUGGAAUUGACGACCUGCAAUUGUAUAAACCGACAUAAUGCUUAUAUUUAAUAGUGAAUGAUUGAAUCAAGAGAAGGGAGGUAAAGGUUUAACACGGUUAGCAGCGAAUAUGAAGCCGACUGUAAACUUAGCAAUCAAUAU